RNAcentral lists this ribosomal RNA (492 nucleotides) under uncultured bacterium. RNAcentral describes it as "partial 16S ribosomal RNA". It matches the Rfam family "Bacterial small subunit ribosomal RNA", at positions 29 to 507 of the family's 1533-position model. The record is from RNAcentral.
AGUGAACGCUGGCGGUAGGCCUAACACAUGCAAGUCGAACGGAAGCACCGUACGAGUUUGCUCUUCUGGGUGGGGGGUGGGGGAAGGGAGGGGAUAAUAUCGGAACCUACUUUUUGGUGGGGGUUAAGGAAGGGAAACUUACGCUAAUACAGCAUCCCAUGUUGGGGUGAAAGAGGGGGAUAUUUGGACCUUGUGGGAUUGAAUGCGCGGCUGUCGGAUUAGCUAGUUGGGGGGGUAAAGGCCAACCAAGGCGACGAUCCGUAGCUGGUCUGAGAGGAUGAUCAGCCACACUGGAACUGAGACACGGUCCAGACUCCUACGGGAGGCAGCAGUGGGGAAUAUUGGACAAUGGGCGCAAGCCUGAUCCAGCCAUACCGCGUGGGUGAAGAAGGCCUUCGGGUUGUAAAGCCCUUUUGUUGGGAAAGAAAAGCAGCAGGUUAAUACCCCGCUGUUCUGACGGUACCCAAAGAAUAAGCACCGGCUAACUUCGUG